RNAcentral lists this ribosomal RNA (163 nucleotides) under uncultured soil bacterium. RNAcentral describes it as "partial 16S ribosomal RNA". It matches the Rfam family "Bacterial small subunit ribosomal RNA", at positions 26 to 188 of the family's 1533-position model. The record is from RNAcentral.
AGAAUCAACGCUGGCGGCGUGCCUAACACAUGCAAGUCGAACGCGCAAGUGGAGCAAUCCAUGAGUAGAGUGGCAAACGGGUGAGUAACGCGUGGGUGAUUUGCCUCAGGGUGGGGGAUAACCUUCCGAAAGGAGGGCUAAUACCGCAUGACAUGCGCUAUAG